AAUAAAUAUAAUUUUAUAUUGUUUUAUAUCCAACGUUUAACCGUUUCUCUUAUUUGAAAUUUUUUUUAUUAUUGGCAGUAUUUUUUAUUGUUAUUUGAUUAUAAAACAUGAAUAUUACUUUAUGUGUGACUAAUUUUUUUCUAUUUUUUCAUAAGUUUUUUAAAUAAUACGGAGGGUCAAACGUUGGGCAUGGAUACCCAUGGCUGCACUUAUU
This 214-nucleotide microRNA precursor is filed under the name Oryza meridionalis. RNAcentral describes it as "MIR812 microRNA precursor family". The stretch from base 27 to 214 matches the Rfam family "MIR812 microRNA precursor family", at positions 25 to 205 of the family's 205-position model. The record is from Rfam by way of RNAcentral. Lineage: Eukaryota; Viridiplantae; Streptophyta; Magnoliopsida; Poales; Poaceae.